UACGUAGGCGGCUUGGUAAGUCAGAGGUGAAAGCCCACGACUCAAUCGUGGAACUGCCUUUGAGACUGCUUCGCUUGAACACGGGAGAGGUGAGUGGAAUUCCGAGUGUAGAGGUGAAAUUCGUAGAUAUUCGGAAGAACACCAGUGGCGAAGGCGGCUCACUGGACCGUUGUUGACGCUGAGGUACGAAAGCGUGGGGAGCAAACA
RNAcentral lists this ribosomal RNA (207 nucleotides) under uncultured bacterium. RNAcentral's name for it is "partial 16S ribosomal RNA". It matches the Rfam family "Bacterial small subunit ribosomal RNA", at positions 568 to 774 of the family's 1533-position model. The record is from RNAcentral.